Molecule: ribosomal RNA, 497 nt
Filed under: uncultured bacterium
Lineage: Bacteria
Description: partial 16S ribosomal RNA
Rfam family: Bacterial small subunit ribosomal RNA
Source: RNAcentral
GACGAACGCUGGCGGCGUGCCUAAUACAUGCAAGUUGAGCGCUGAAGGUUGGUACUUGUACCAACUGGAUGAGCAGCGAACGGGUGAGUAACGCGUGGGGAAUCUGCCUUUGAGCGGGGGACAACAUUUGGAAACGAAUGCUAAUACCGCAUAAAAACUUUAAACACAAGUUUUAAGUUUGAAAGAUGCAAUAGCAUCACUCAAAGAUGAUCCCGCGUUGUAUUAGCUAGUUGGUGAGGUAAAGGCUCACCAAGGCGAUGAUACAUAGCCGACCUGAGAGGGUGAUCGGCCACAUUGGGACUGAGACACGGCCCAAACUCCUACGGGAGGCAGCAGUAGGGAAUCUUCGGCAAUGGACGAAAGUCUGACCGAGCAACGCCGCGUGAGUGAAGAAGGUUUUCGGAUCGUAAAACUCUGUUGGUAGAGAAGAACGUUGGUGAGAGUGGAAAGCUCAUCAAGUGACGGUAACUACCCAGAAAGGGACGGCUAACUACGUG